GUCCGGAUGGUGGAAUUGGUAGACACGCUAGCUUCAGGUGCUAGUGCCUUACAGCAUGAGGGUUCGAGUCCCUCUUCGGACACCA
RNAcentral lists this transfer RNA (85 nucleotides) under Hoylesella shahii. RNAcentral's name for it is "tRNA-Leu". It matches the Rfam family "tRNA". From Rfam's summary of the family: Transfer RNA (tRNA) molecules are approximately 80 nucleotides in length. Their secondary structure includes four short double-helical elements and three loops (D, anti-codon, and T loops). Lineage: Bacteria; Pseudomonadati; Bacteroidota; Bacteroidia; Bacteroidales; Prevotellaceae. The record is from RNAcentral.